CAACUAUUGUACCAUUCGCUAGCUCGAAUAAACGCUUAGUUAAACCAUAUAACUUGCUUAUUCGCAGUUUCCUCGACAGCAUCCUAUCUUCGAAUAUACUAUUAUCGUCGCAACGAUAAACAAGUGAGUAAGCAGUCAAUUGAUUCAAACUUUCGACUGUAAGUAAUUGAAUUCGCGUAACAGUUUACCUCCGUACUAGUGGCGAACGUUCUUUGGAACGUAAGUGCUGGGUGCCAUUAUAAACGCCAUCAUUAAAGUGGAGAGUUGCUAGGGGUGACGGCGUAAGGAGGAAUUGGGCCGCGAGAAGCAACAUCUGCGCAUUACGAAACACGAUAAAAUUACGACCAGACGGAGGAUCUAGAGGAGAGAGAUAGGAUGGAGGAGGACGCGCGGAGCACGUGUCGGCCGAGUGAUCGAGGCAUUAUUCGGACAUGACCUCGAUAUCGGAUGUUCAUGCUUGACAAGGAAUCCGGCGCAAUUAGGCGAGAGAGCGAGCGGGGCCGAACGCAUCGGCGGCAAUUACUCCCGGCACUGCGGUUACACUAUGCUACUCCGAGGGGAGAAAUGCAUAGCGAGACGAGAUGAGAGGAGACGAGACGGGACGGGACGGGACGGGGACGGUCGAGCAUCAAAACAGCCUCAUUAAGGUCAUUAGCGUUCGUCCGGCUGCAAAGGCUUUCGCGUAAGAGUAGCGGGUGCAGAGUCCGUGCAUGCCUGUGCACAUUGUGUCGUCAAAGGAACGCGUUCCGUUCCGCGUCUGCGAAACCUACCGUUUCACACGGCGCGCUGCCUGUUACGAAGCCCUGCGGACUGCAUCUCGCACCGAGUCGCAUUUGCACGGUGAAAGACGCGCCCGAAAUGGCACGGGACCGUGCCGAGGAGAUGAGAUUUUCGCUAAUUUCCAUUCGAAUCCUACCGUUGCGCAAAGUUCGCAUUCCGCAUUUGGGAGGAAAUUAUGGCCACUCUUACGGAUAAAUUGAGAUGAAAUGGUGCACACACAUUGAGCGUCAUAUAUAUCUUAAUGUUUAAAUAUUUGUGCAUCACGG
Molecule: long non-coding RNA, 1046 nt
Organism: Cataglyphis hispanica
Lineage: Eukaryota; Metazoa; Arthropoda; Insecta; Hymenoptera; Formicidae
Exons: 3
Source: RefSeq, a predicted model, not a curated record